UCUUUAAGUAGUUGGUUCAAAGGGACUGAGCUCACGUUGUGGGAAACUGUUCAUGGAAUCAAGUUCUGGGAAUUUAUGAAUCAAAACCCUGGAAUAAACCAGCGGUUCAAUGAAGCAAUGGCCAGUGACACUGAAAUAAUGACAAGCUUUGUUGUCAAAGCCGAGUUUAAGCAAAUCUUUGAAGGGUUGGGCACAUUGCUUGACGUAGGAGGUGGCAACGGAUCGUUUUCCAGAAUCAUCUCUGAAGCAUUCCCUGGCAUCAAAUGCACUGUACUCGACCUCCCGCAUGUUGUUGCUCACCUGCCUGAGGCCGACAACUUGAAAUACAUAGCAGGUGACAUGUUUCAGUUUAUCCCUCCGGCAGAUGCCUUUCUCUUCAAGGUAAGAUCCAAUUUUAAAAAUUUAAAACAACUUCUUAACCGUUUUCGUGAAUACCAGAUUAUUUAUUUCAAUUGUUCUGUACGCAGCACAUAUAUCCGGACGUUCGAAUCUUACAAAAUCAGGAUUUAAAUGAUUCAAAUCAGAUUUAAAGUAAUUGCAAAAUGCUAUACAACUCUAAAUUUAAUUAACAUUUGGAUUUUACAGAAUCUAGAAGUUUAGGCUUGAGCAUGACCAUUUACGCAGUCAUUCUCUAGUGCGGUUGCCCGCAUUUUUUCAAGUGUAGAUUCGAAGUUUACCAUAUUGGUAAAGGCCAUCAACAAAGUGUUGGCUCCACUGGCAAUUGAGUCCCCUUAAGUGGCUUGACUGGGUUUGCUCCCCAGUUCGAGUCGCAGGGAAGUCGCCUUUGUUGGGAGAACCUGUGCCUCUCGGUUCGAGCGGGGACUUCUAGUCUGGGUUGUGGUACGGGCUUAAAGGUGCCUCCCAUAGUUGGGGCCCUCUCUAGGAUACCUCGUGGUCAAAACCAAAAAAAAAAUAUUGGUAAAGGCUUGUAUAACAUUGAAACUUAUUUUUUCAUAACUUAUAUGUAUAUGUAUAUGUAUAUAUGUGUGUGCGUUUAUAGGCGGAGUAAUAAAACGUUUUAUCUACACCACUAUAAAAUUAUUUUACAAUAUUUAAAACAACGAAUCUGCAUUCUAAAAAGUGUGAUUUGUGAAUGUAUAUAGAUAGAUGGAUAGAUAGGCACAUGCACAAACUGUUGGGAUUUUAUUAAAAAGAAAAAGUAUCCUAUAUUUUAACUAAAAUAUUAGAUCAAACAACGGAACUGCACUAUAAGUGGUGGGUAUUAAUUAAAUGAGUGAUUGGCAUGGUUGCAGUUGGUUUUUCAUGGAUUAGGUGAUGAGGAUGGGUUGAAGAUACUGAAGAAACGCAGAGAAGCAAUUGCAAGCAAUGGUGAGAGAGGAAAGGUAAUAAUAAUAGAUAUCGUUAUCAAUGCAGAGGAAGAGGGACACGAAUUAACCGAAACAAAGUUCUUGUUUGACAUUGUGAUGAGCGUUAACGCUACUGGAAAAGAGAGAACUGAAAAUGAAUGGGCAAAGCUAUUCUUCGAUGCCGGUUUCAGUCACUACAAAAUAACACCUAUAUUUGGCAUGAGGUCCCUCAUUGAAGUCUAUCCAUAAAGAAUUCAGCAACCGUAUUCCCGCAAGUCUCUUGUACUGCUUGAUGGAUAGCAAAAUAUCGUUCAAGAUUUAAGUGUAGUAGUUGAAAUGUCACGAAAUGACUAGAAAAUGAGGUGACACACGGGUUUAAAUAUAGGAUGGGUCACUCAAUUAAAAUGCUAUAGUCUUUUGGGAUGGAAACUUAAAUAUCCUAGACCACCCUUUAAUAUAUUAAGGAUAAAGGAUUUGUGUGUACUAUGUUAUAUUGCAUUUUGUUAUUAUCUCCAGCAUCUGCUCUUAUGAUUUAUCUUUACUAAUAAAAUUACUAUUUUGCUUAAGUUAUUGUGUUCUCAAAACAAGUAACUGCAAAAUAAUUUAUAUUGUUACUUUGAAUAUUUACAAUUAGGUUGUACAUUAAUGAUAAAUGAUUCAAAAUUUAUCUUUGCAAUGUAAGUAAAAAAUAAUAAUUAGUAAAAAAAUAAAAAAAGUAAAAAAUAACCUAUUCAUAUUAAUGAGUAAUAUUAUUAUUAAAAAUUAAUAUUUCAAAAGCAUAACAUCCCCACGAUUCUUCUAAGCCAAUCAGAAACAUCAUCAGCUAAGAUUGUUUGAUGUAAGACAAAAUUGAAGUUUACUUAUUUUAUUUAGUAUUUUAAUUUUUUCAAGCAGAAUUUAUAAUUGGACUUAUAUUUGGGGAUGCAUGGAUUCUCUUUUCUGGUUUACAAUUUGAAUCAUGUAUUUUAGGAGAAAUCCAAUAAUCUAGGAACCCACAAGAGCCCCAAUGAACCUUGGAGUGAAACAAGCUCUGUGGGGAUACUGUUAUUACUAUUAUGUAUUCCAUGAAACCUUUAUGUUUGAUAGUAUGAUUUAAUAUCAUGUUAUGGUUACAUGUACAGAUAUCAUAUGUUUGCUUAAGUCAUAAAAUGUGAUUGUCAAUCACCAUAUAUGUGUCAUUCCCUAUAAACUUUGUGCAUGCAUAUUGAGAGUUAAGUUACUCUACCGGUGCGAUGUAGUUAAAUUACAUCGGGUAUUGAGAGGGUUUUGUCCUGCUCUACUAAUGCGGUGAUGAUGUCAAUAAGUAUUGAGAGUUAUUUCCCUGGGUAUUAUUUGGUGUAGGUUUGUCAUGUAUGUAUUAUUUCCCAUGUUUACAUAUGCAUUACUUUAUUAUUAUUAUUAUUAUUAUUAUUAUUAUUAUUAUUAUUAUUAUAUAGAUAUAUAUGGCCGCAAGCUCAUUAUUUUCCUAUUUAUCCCUUUUCAGCCAGGAUUUCGCAAGAUUUCGUACUGAUCAAUUCUAGUCAAUUCAAGUUGGGCCACGAGACGUAUUGCCGCAUGACUUGCAUUUUGAGCACGUUUAUGUUACUUAUGUUUUUAUGUAUAUAUAUUUGUAGGGUAAGUAUAUAUAGUGAGAUAUGAACUGUGCAAGUUUUGAAUAUAUAUUUUCGGAUGAGGUAUAGAGGUUGUUAUGUGUUUAUAGUAGAGACCAUUUUUAUAUAUUCAUGAAUUCAAUUUGUGUCGCGAGUUUUAGUUAUUAGAUCGUAUGAUUCACCUCGAAUCCGACAUAUAGGUCGGGGCAAGUCGUAUCAUGUGAUAAGUGUGUGACAAAUAUGAAAAAUAUGAAGAAUAUAUUAGAAAAUACAGGGAAUGAAAACGAGAGAAAAUGGUAGCGGGCUCUUUCAAUGUGAUAUGAGGGGAUUUUCUUUUAUUUAAUUAUCCUCCGACCAUAAACAUACAAUAGCGUGAUGGUUUUCUUUGAGAUUAUCUUCUGUCUCUAAUCAACUUGACAGUGAUAUAACUUAUUGUGAUAUGCUUCCGCAUUCAAGGAUCAAAGGUAUGUUUUUGGAUAUCCUAUUAACUGUAUGUUGAAUAUGUACCGAUAUCAACACUUAUCUAUUUGAAGCUAUCAAAAGAUAGACUGUAGUUUGCAAUAAGAACAAUGUAGGUUGAGUUUUGUCAGUAGAAAGAACUUAGACAUAAAUUUUAAUAAAGAUGCCUAAUUUGGAAAAUUUGAUAUACGUUUAGUGAAUGAAAAAGGCUGCAUGUAUUUAAAAUAGCACAAAAUUUAAUAUAAAAAUUCUACGUGUUCAGUAUUAACUCCAUGGAAUACGAGAUUUUGGUGGGCACAAGCUAUAAAUUUCUUAUAUUUUCUUAUCCUUUUGAAGCUGUCAAAAGAUACAGUAUAGUUUGCAAUAAGAACAGUGCUCGCUAAUUGUUGGCGGUAGAAAGAAUUUAGAGAUAAUUUUUAAUAAAGAUGGUUAAUUUGGAAAUUUUAUAUGCGUUUAGUGAAUGAAUAGUGCUGCAUGUAUUUAAAAUAGCACAAAAUUUAAUACAAAAGCAUAAAAAAUUAAAAAAAUCUUGUGCUGUGGUGAAUUCUUUUCUUGUAAUGAAACUUUUUAUUUUUUUUAGUGAUGGCAUACUAUUUUUUAUACUAUCUUUUUUUUCUUAUACAUUAGUAUUGUCAGCCAACCGAUGAAUAAAUGGUAAAAUAUUGAUGUGAAAAAUCUUUGCCACCUUUUCGAAUUUUAUUUUUUAAAAGAUAGAGAGAUAAAUGAUUUCAAAUUAAUCUUUUAACUCUCUAACUUUUGUCAAAUUUAAAUUUAAAUAGCCAACAAAAUAAAAUUAAUUGAAAACUCUACCUCCGUACUCCGAGUGCAAUUAUUUUGACUCAAAUGAAUGUCUUAAAAAUUUGAAAAACAAGCAAGCACAUUGAAUAUAUAAAAUGUGCCUGUAUAUGCAUCACACCCUGCCAAUCACGGUGUUAUAAUAAUUGAAUCAUUGAUCAGUCAAUAUAUCUUAUUGUCCUUUUCUCGUGCGCAUGCAUCAUUACGAAAUCAAUGCUAACAUAUAAUAAUUGAAUCAUUGAUCAGUAAAUAUAUCUUAUUGACCUUUUCUCAUGCGCAUGCAUCAUUACAAAAUCAAUGCUAACUAUUUUUUAUUUUUGUUGUGGUGAAUUCUUUUCUUCUAAUGAAUUUUUUUUUAUUUUAUUAAUGCCAUACUAUUUUUUAUACUAUCUUUUUUUCUUAUGCAUCGGUAUUGUCAGCCAACAGAUGAAUAAAUGGCAAAAUAUUGAUGUGAAAAAUUUCUGCCACCUUUUCUAAUUUUGUUUUUAAAAAAAUCUUGUGCUGUGGUGAAUUCUUUUCUUGUAAUGAAACUUUUUAUUUUUUUUAGUGAUGGCAUACUAUUUUUUAUACUAUCUUUUUUUUCUUAUACAUUAGUAUUGUCAGCCAACCGAUGAAUAAAUGGUAAAAUAUUGAUGUGAAAAAUCUUUGCCACCUUUUCGAAUUUUAUUUUUUAAAAGAUAGAGAGAUAGAUGAUUUUAAAUUAAUUUUUAACUCUCUAAAUUUUAUCAAAUUUGAAUUUUAAUAGCCAACAAAAUAAAAUAACUUGACAACUCUACCUCCGUACUCUGGGUACAAUUAUUUUGACUCAAAUUAAUGUCUUAAAAAUUUGAAAAACAGACCAGCACAUUGAAUAUGUAAAAUGUGCCUCUAUAUAUAUCACACCCUGCCAAUCACGGAGUUAUAAUAAUUGAAUCAUUGAUCAGUAAAUAUAUCUUACUGUCCUUUUCUCUUGCGCAUACGUCAUUACGAAAUCAAAGUUAACAGUGUUGUUAGGUUGUAACUUGUUAGAUUAUAACUAAUCACAUUUGCAAAUAUUCAUAUGAGGAGUCAAAGAUGCUUGCAUACAGUUAGUCCACAUUUGCGAGCAAGCGUGAUUAUAUAUAAUGUGCUUCUCUAUUAUAGUGUGUGAUCAAUCAGGCAAGCUUAAUUUAGCUGAUCAUCAGUAUCCAUGGAUGCGAAUCAAGAUCAAGGAGCAAAAGAGUUGUUUCAAGGCCAAGCUCAACUUUAUAAGCUCAUGUUUAAUCAUUUAAGCUCGACGUCACUAAAGUGCGCGAUUGAGCUAGGCAUAGCGGAUAUAAUUCAUCGCCACGGACAGGCCAUCACUCUUUCUGAGUUGGUCUCGGCACUUGAUAUUCAGCCUACAAAAACGAAUGGUCUAUUCAGGCUCAUGCGCUUGUUAGUUCACUCGGGCUGCUUUAAAAAAACCAAAGUCAAUGGGGAAGAAGAAGCAUACGGGCUCACAGCUGCUUCUACUCUGCUCAUCAAAGAUAAGCCCUACUGUUUGUCACCAACUGUUUCAGCAUUUGUUGACCCAUUUUUUGUCGCUCCAUUUCAGUCUUUAAGUAUUUGGUUCAAAGGGACUGAGCUCACGUUGUGGGAAACUGUUCAUGGAAUCACGUUCUGGGAAUUUAUGAAUCAAAACCCUGCAAUAAACCAGCGGUUCAAUGAAGCAAUGGCCAGUGAUUCUGAAAUAAUGACAAGCUUUGUUGUCAAAUCCGAGUGUAAGCAAAUCUUUGAAGGGUUGGGCUCAUUGGUUGACGUAGGAGGUGGCGACGGAUCAUUUUCCAGAAUCAUCUGUGAAGCAUUCCCUGGUAUCAAAUGCACCGUACUCGACCUCCCGCAUGUUGUUGCUAACCUGCCUGAGGCCGACAACUUGAAAUACAUAGCAGGUGAUAUGUUUCGGUUUAUCCCUCCGGCAGAUGCCUUUCUCUUCAAGGUAAGAUCCAAUUUAUUUCAAUUGUUC
RNAcentral lists this long non-coding RNA (6113 nucleotides) under Citrus maxima (pomelo). RNAcentral's name for it is "long non-coding RNA (CMAX_LNC003809)". The record is from RNAcentral. Lineage: Eukaryota; Viridiplantae; Streptophyta; Magnoliopsida; Sapindales; Rutaceae.